This 545-nucleotide ribosomal RNA is filed under the name Escherichia coli. Its description in RNAcentral is "partial 23S ribosomal RNA". It matches the Rfam family "Bacterial large subunit ribosomal RNA", at positions 2096 to 2640 of the family's 2925-position model. Lineage: Bacteria; Pseudomonadati; Pseudomonadota; Gammaproteobacteria; Enterobacterales; Enterobacteriaceae. The record is from RNAcentral.
AACCUUUACUAUAGCUUGACACUGAACAUUGAGCCUUGAUGUGUAGGAUAGGUGGGAGGCUUGGAAGUGUGGACGCCAGUCUGCAUGGAGCCGACCUUGAAAUACCACCCUUUAAUGUUUGAUGUUCUAACGUUGACCCGUAAUCCGGGUUGCGGACAGUGUCUGGUGGGUAGUUUGACUGGGGCGGUCUCCUCCUAAAGAGUAACGGAGGAGCACGAAGGUUGGCUAAUCCUGGUCGGACAUCAGGAGGUUAGUGCAAUGGCAUAAGCCAGCUUGACUGCGAGCGUGACGGCGCGAGCAGGUGCGAAAGCAGGUCAUAGUGAUCCGGUGGUUCUGAAUGGAAGGGCCAUCGCUCAACGGAUAAAAGGUACUCCGGGGAUAACAGGCUGAUACCGCCCAAGAGUUCAUAUCGACGGCGGUGUUUGGCACCUCGAUGUCGGCUCAUCACAUCCUGGGGCUGAAGUAGGUCCCAAGGGUAUGGCUGUUCGCCAUUUAAAGUGGUACGCGAGCUGGGUUUAGAACGUCGUGAGACAGUUCGGUCCCUA